ACGCCCGGGGAUCCGCGACACUCGCCGCACACCCGCCCCCGUCCACCCUGUGCUCCUAUUGGGCCCUGGAACAAGGGAAGCUCUCCCAGGCGUCGGGUUUUCUGCUUGUUUUGUUCUCGCCUCGAGUCUCUGGUCGGUUGGGCAGUGAGUCCAAAACUACUUACCUGGAAGACCUUCCACCACCCCCUGAGUGUGAAUUGGCCCCGUCCAAGUUAGAAGAGGAAGUGGAUGAUGUCUUUCUCAUUCGAGCUCAAGGACUGCCCUGGUCAUGCACUAUGGAAGAUGUGCUUAACUUUUUUUCAGGGUGAAGCAAGAAGCAUUUCAUUUGCACAUCUUUCUUGGACUUGGGAUAUACAGUUCCAGUUUAUUAGCAGCAACUGCUAGGGAAAUGAUUUUGGUGUUUUGGGUUAAUUGCUUCU
Molecule: small RNA, 419 nt
Filed under: Pan troglodytes (chimpanzee)
Lineage: Eukaryota; Metazoa; Chordata; Mammalia; Primates; Hominidae
Description: processed transcript
Source: RNAcentral